Molecule: long non-coding RNA, 23572 nt
Filed under: Citrus sinensis (sweet orange)
Lineage: Eukaryota; Viridiplantae; Streptophyta; Magnoliopsida; Sapindales; Rutaceae
Description: long non-coding RNA (CSIN_LNC001342)
Source: RNAcentral
AUUAAUGUCGAAAAGAUUUGGCAAAAUCAACUUCCAGCCAUGUUUCUUUGCUUUCAAAGUUUAACUAAAUUGAUCGUGGGGAAGUGUCACAAAUUAAAAUGUAUAUUUUCGACUUCUAUGCUCAGAAGCUUUGAACAACUCCGACAGCUGAAUAUAUACAACUGUAUGGGUUUGCUUGAGAUUAUUUCCGAAGGAGCAGAUCAAGUGCCACCUUGUUUUAUCUUUCCGCGGCUGACAUUUCUAAGACUACGUAAACUACCAGAACUUAGAUGUUUAUAUCCUGGAAUGCAUACUUCGGAAUGGCCGGCACUAAAAAUGUUGAAGGUCUUUGGUUGUGACAAAAUAAAGUUAUUCGGUUCCGAAUUAUCUAGCUUCCAUGGAAACAUUGAUAAGAAUCAGCUUCAUAUCCCAGCGCAACAGCCCCUGUUGUUGAUCGAAAAGGUAUAUAUGCAACCAUUUAUUUGAUUUUUUAUCAGUUGAGUCUUACUGUUUCUUAUGUUUUACGUUUGAUUCUUUGUUGCAAAGAAACUCACAAACAAAAGAUUUUAGAAAUACCCACUGUACAUGUAUGUAUUGCUCAAAAUUGUUUGACAGAACAUCAAUAGAACUAAUUAGUUUUUAUAUGAGUUGAUGAUGUUCAGAUCUUCCCCAGCUUGGAGAAACUCCUAUUAAGUGGAAAGGAUUUCAGGAUGAUUUUGCAGGGUGAUUACCCACAAAACCUAUUUGGCAGUCUUAAAUACAUUAAGGUUGCGGAUGAUGACUCAGCUUGUUUUCCACUUGGUUUACUUGAGAAAUUUCAAAAUCUGGAAAUCCUCUUUCUGAGUUGUACUUCAUACACAGAGAUAUUAUCAAAUGAAGGACACUCGGAGAAGCACGUGGGCAAGUUCUCACAAGUAAAACAUUUACAGCCGUACAAACUGAAUGAUCUGAAGCACCUAUGGAAACAAGACUCCAAACUGGACUCCAUUCUUGCAAAUCUUGAAAUUCUACGAGUAUAUUGUUGUCAAAAUCUGACUGUUCUAUUGCCAUCAUCAUCGGUAUCGUUUUGGAAUCUAACAGAUCUGCAAGUUUGGGGCUGCAAGAAAUUGAUGAAUUUGGUAACAUCCUCCACAGCAAAGAGUCUAGUGCGCCUCAUGACAAUGAAGGUGUGUGGGAGCAAAGCAAUGACACAAGUGGUGGUAAGUGAGGAAGAUGGAGCAGAAGAUGAAAUUGUUUUCAGCAAAUUGAAGACAUUGUCUCUGCUUGAUUUAGAUAGCCUCACAAGUUUCUACUCUGGCAAUUACACCUUCAAAUUCCCAUCUCUACAAGAUUUAGAAGUGAUUGGUUGUCCCAAGAUGAAGAUUUUCACCACAGGAGAAUUAUGCACACCGCCGAGAGUAAAUGUCUGGUAUGGAGAGGGAGAUGGUGAAUGUCGUUGGGCUAAUGACCUUAACGUUACGAUACAAGAGUUGCAUGCUGAAAAGGUACGGUUAACCCACCAACUUAACUCCCAAGGAAAAAUUUUACAAAUUUGCACUUUUUAACAAAAUUUAGAAAAUAGAUCAUGGACAACCAAGUUUGACUCAUUAGAAUAUUUAUUAUUGAGUAAGUGCAUGAUCGGGUUUGAAAAAGUAUGAGACACUUCUGUAUGUAGUUCUUGAAACUGUCCAAUUUAAAACAGACAUAUUCAAUUCUCAAAAAAUCAUGAAUCAUUAGUUUUAACUUCAUAAUAUAAAAGUCGUGUCAAAUUAAUGAAUGAGAAUUUUGUUUUCAGAUGUUGGAGGGGUCGUCAUCUAACUUGAGGAAGUACGAUUGGUGAUCAUGUUGGCUUUUUAAUUUAUUACUUGGAGUUGUGAAUUUGAAGAAUAAAGUCCCAGGUAAAUAAUUUAAUUUCCCUUAUUUGAUCUCAUAGCUUGUUUCAUCGGUUCACCUGAACUAUUUAGAUUGCGUCACUGGUUUAUUGUUAACUUUAAAAUGAAGUUUUAAUGUUUCAUUCGGGGCUUUAUGAGCAAAUUUUACAUCAUUGAAUGUCCUUUGGUCUGAACUUUUGAGCUUUUUGUUUGAUAGUCAAGGCUUUAUAGUAUGCUAUUUAUAAUUCCUUAAGAAUGUGCAAAAUUUUUUAUGAUAAAAUUGCUUGAAUAUGUCAUUGAAAGGAACUUCUAUGUUGCUCUUUAUGAUUACAGAGUUCUCAAUGUUAUCACUCUUCUUUUGCAGGAUGUGGAAUCAAAGAUACUUUUCUAUGAAAUUUGUGUUCCUUGUAUUAAAAGUUUACAUGCUGAAGGGCUUCCUGUGUUAUCUUUGCUGUUCUACUUGUGCUUUACUUCAUUGUGUCGCUACAGCUUUGUGAGUGUUAUGUUAACUAUUGUUUCCUUCAUUUGGGCAUUGUAAGUUUCGAAGGCGCUACAUUGCUUGACUAAAGAUGCUUAAAUUUAUCAUCUGUUUGUACCCCUUGUAUUAUAUACAAUAAAUUUUUGAUGUAUUUUGACAUUUAAUACGAGAUAUGUUUGAAUUUUCAUUGAAAGGUUUCAUAAUUGUUCAAAUUUAUCUUCAGUUUUAUUUUUGUUAUCUUGUUGGAACCAAAUUGACAACCAAGAUCAAUUUGGAACACCCAAGAUCCACUCUAAGAAACUUGAUCUUAACUAGGUCUGAUACUAGACUGAGUUUAAGAAGAAAUUUGCCUAGGUAAGUGGAAUCAAACACAACUCAAGGAACAAAAGCAGAAAAGAAAGAAAACAGAUCUCACACACAGCACCAAGAUUUAUAGUGGUUCGGCCAUUUUCUUGCCUAUAUCCACUGUGAAAAGAGAAGCAAGCUUUCACUGAUUUCAGAGAUUACAAGUCACAGAGAUGAAGAGUAUGUGUAACAGAAUCGAAACCCCUCAGUAACAGAUCAUAGAGCCUUUUACAUUUCAAUCAAAACCCUCUAAAAGGACCCCAAACAAUCAGCUCACGCUCCUGGGUUUCUCAGCUAAGCAAUCCCAGCUGCAUCUGCAUCCCGCGUGAAUUAACUGAAUUAACAGCUUCUGGAACUGCUCAGGGACACUUGUCAAAUGCUCGUAUAAUUUGCUACUUCAAAAACCGACAUGACAUCACUUCCUUCCCCAAGCAUCAGACACGUCAUACACAUUCCCGAAUCCAGAUUUGAGCUUCCCCUCUUCAGCAUAUCUCAAAUACAUGUUAGGCCUUGCAUGCAUAGACGCACGUAAUAUCCCAGAAGAGUUUUAUCAGAUGAUUUUACUAUCAUCGUUGUUGUUGCUGCUCCCGCCGCCGCCAUUAUUACUAUUAUUAUACUACUACUUGAAAAUUUCAAGUAUUUUAGAUGAGAAAUUUAUUAUGUUAGAGAUAUUCAUAAUAUACAUGAUGCUGAAAUCAGGGAAUUUGUUGUCUCAGUUUGUUUUAUUUUUGUUUGCCUCGAAUCAAAUUUUGAAAUUUAAGAACUAUGGUAAGAGAUGGAACAAGAGGAGUUAAAAAAUUUGCCAAAAUUGAUGUAGCAAUGAAACAAUUGUAUCCUAACAUGUUUAGCAUCAUUCUACUUUAUGAUCAUUGUUGUUCCGUUAUUUUAGUUCUUGCUCUGUUUGUUCUGUUUCUCUGUUUAUUUCACUGGGGGUUUGCUUCACAAAAUCUUACUUUCAAAAUUUAGAAGGCAAGGAAAGAGCGCUUCGAAAAUGCAAGAGGUAUCAAAUCAUGCAUUAAAAAACUUGUUGGCUGCUGGCUGGUCUAUUUCAUUGGCACCGAUCGAAUCAUUAUCCCUAAAAUAAUUAGGAGUCGGAGAUAUAAGUGUGAAAAUAACAGGAUCAUUUACAACAUGGAAAUCAGUCGCCAUUGGUAGGUGGCGCUGCAUAUGAUAAUAACAACUGAUUGAUACCAACAAAGUGUUGGCUCCACUGGUAAUGGAGUCCCCUUAAGUGGCUUGACUGGAUUUGCUCCCCAGUUCGAGUCGCAGGGAAGUCGCCUUUGUUGGGAGAAUCUGUGCCUCCCGGUUCGAGCGGAGACUUCUAGUCUGGGUUGUGGUACGGGCUUAAAGGUGCCUCCCACAGUUGGGGCCCUCCCCAGGAUACCUCGUGAUUAAUAUAAAAAAAAAAAAACAACUGAUUGAUGAAAUUAAUGCCAUCAAUCUGCCUGUUAAUGUUGUUGACGCGUGUCAAAUUUUCAUGCAUAUUAGAAUUUAUUAGUGAGGUUGCAUUAUGGUCCAUAUCGUCAAUAACUUUAGCAGUCAAAUUUUACGCCACUGGAGUCAAAUUUUCAUGCAUAAAGCUGUUGGCUGGUCUGUUUGGCUCUACAAUGAUUUAUCUUUUCGACUUAAAAUGAUUCCAAAAAGCCAUCAGCAAUCUCUAGUGCAACUCUUCAAAAAAAAAAAUUAAAAUAAAAAUAAAAGUCUCAAAAAGUAUCAUUAAUUUAAUUCUAUUGUUUCCGGGUAAUCAGAACGUGUUUGAUAAAUAUUUAUAAGUUACAGUUUGAAAAUUAAAUAGAUUUUAUUUAACAAAAAGAUAUUGUUGACGCGUGUCAAAUUUUCAUGCAUAUUAGAAUUUAUUAGUGAGGUUGCAUUAUGGUCCAUAUCGUCAAUAACUUUAGCAGUCAAAUUUUACGCCACCGGAGUCAAGUGAUUUUUAAGCAGUUUUAUUCAACUGGUUACCUGAGUUCGAAUCUUAAAGAGAUAAAUAGUUAAAAAUGAAUUUAGACUUUGCCUACUCCUUUAAUAAAAAAAGAAGGUCAUUUAGUCUUAACUUUUGAAAUUUUUAUUUGACAUUUCGGCUUUAUAGCAUGCGAUGUAUUUUCUUAAAUUUUAUAAUUCCUUGAGAAUGUGCAAACAUUUUAUGAUAAAAUUACUUAAAAAUGUCGUUGAAACGAACUGAACUUUUUAUGUUGAAAGAAAGCCUUAUUAUUUUUCUGUACUUCUAUGUAAUGCUUUAUGGUUACAAAAUUCUCAUUGUUAUCACUCUUCUUGUGCAAGAUCUGUAAUGAAAGAUACUUUUCUGUCAAAUUUGUGUUCCUGAUAUUAAAAGUUCACAUGCUGGGGGGCUUCCUAUUUCAUCUUUGUCAUUCUACUUGUGCUUUGCUUCAUUGUGUAGCUACAGCAUUAUAAGCGUUACCAUAACUUAUCUGCAGCAAUUUUAUAAUUUACUAUUAUUGUGGUUGUUGCUGCUAUCAUUGUUCUACUAGUUGGAAAAUUCGAAUUCUUUUAGACGUGACAUUUAUCAUAUUAGAUAUUCAAGGUAUACAUACAUGCAUAUAUAUAUAUAUAUAUAUACUGGGUAUCUGUUUAGAUAUGAUGCAGAGAAAUGACAGAAGUUGUAUUAAGUGACGAAGAUUGAGCAGCAAAACAAGAGAUAGUUUUCAGCAAAUUAAAGACGUUGGCUCUGUUUGAUUUAGUUAGACUCACAAGUUUCUGCUCUGGCAAUUGCACUUUCAAAUUCCCAUCCUUGCAAGAUUUAACUGUGAUUGACUGUCCCAAGAUGAAGAAUUUUACUAGAGGAGAAUUAUGGAUGCCAUCUGGUACGGAGAGAGAGAAGAUGAAAGCCGUUGGGCUAAUGACCUUAACACAACCAUACAACAACUACAUGCAGAAACGGUAUGAUUAAUUCACUAUUCUAUCUCCAAUGGAAAAGUUUUACAAAAUUUGCAAUUUUUUAACAAAACGUAGAAAACUGAUCAUUGACAAGUUAGUUUGAUUCAUUAGAAUAUUCGCUAUUACUUUUGUAUUUAAUUCAUCAAACUGUCCUAUUUAAUAUUGACAUUUUCACAAAAGUUAGAUAAUGUUUUUCAAUUCUCACAAAUUCGUUAAUAAUUAGUUUUAAUUUCAUAAUAUGAAAAUCUUGUCAAAGAAAUUGUGUUAUUAAACUUAUUAAAUCUCUCGCUAGUGGCUUCCUUCCUAAUCUCCAUGUGCUUUAGUAUUUAUUUCCAAGUGCCUAAUUUUACAACUUUUAAUUUAGAUUAAUGAAUGACAAUUCUUAUUUUUUCAGCUGUUGGAGGGGCUUUCAUCUUAGUCGACUUUAUACAAGUAAUCUGAUCAAAUACAUUUUAGUACUUGGAUAAGAUGUGGAUUUGAAGACUAAAGAUCGCAGGUAACUAAUUUUAUUACUUAUGUACUUUUCUCAUGGUUUUGUUUCAUCGUUUCAUCUAAACUCUUUGGAAUGCAUUAAUUUUGUUUAUUGUUAAUUUGGAACGAAGUUUUAACGUAUCAUUCAGGGAUUUUGUUUGCAUCAUUGAGGGUUGUUUGGCCUUAACUUCUGAGGUUUUUGACAUUCAGCUUUAUAUUGUGCUAUUUUUUGUAAUUUUAUAACUUCUUGAAAGCAUGCAUAUAUUUUUUUUCUUAUCAUGAUGCCUCGAAAAUGUCAUUAGAAGGGACAGCAGUUUUCUUUUUCUUAUUUAUUUUCAAGUAUCUACGUUUGCGAAUUUUAGUUCAACUUGUUGAAUGGGAAUUUUGUUUUCAGCUACGUACAAGACGAUGCCGCUGCUGCUGCCAUUGUUACUGUCAUAGUUACUAUUACUCGAAAAUUUCAAGUAAUUUAGUUGUGAAAUUCAUUAUGUUAGAGAUAUUCAAAAUAUAUAUGAUGCUGAAAGAAAAGAGUGGACUUGUUGUCUCAGUUUGUCUCAUUUUGUUUUCUCCAACUCUAAUUUUCAAAUUUUAGAAAUAUGGUAAGAGAAGGAACAAAAUGAGUAAAAAAAUUGUCAAAAUAGUUGUAGCUAUGAACAAUUAUAUCCAAACACAUUUAGCAUCAAUCUACUUUGCCAAAUUUUUUAGUCAUCGUCUUUGCUCGGUUGUUUUAGUUUUUGCCCUGUUUGUUCUCUUUAUUUUGAUUGAGUUUGCUUUACAAAGUCUAUCUUUCAAAACUUAGAAGGCGAGGAAAGAGCGGGUAGGAAAUGCAAAAGGUAUCAAAUCAUGCAUAUGGUCAAAUGCUCCUGUAUAUGAACACAUAAAGAACAAUUGAAAUAUCAUUCACCGGAUAACACAAACAAAUAAAAAAAAAAAAAAAAAGAAGAAAGAGAGAAAAUCUAAUCGUCUCAUUAUCCCGAACACAAAUAAUUAAACCAUCAAAUGUUUGCAAUGAGCACAAUCAGAUCAUCUCUUUGGAAUAAUUACAUGUUGGCUUGGCCUAUUUUUUGGCCGGUAAAAAGGUUUUUGGCUGGAGCAUUUGGCCUUAACUUUUUUUUUUUUUUGAGUCUAUAUCAAUUGAUGCCACUAUGUCAAUAAUAAUUGGUAGGAAAUAAAUUAAUAUGUAACUAUAUCUUCUUAAUUAAUUAUUUGUUUUUUUAUCCAUUUACAUUGGAAAAAAGGGGUGCAGGGUCAGGAAGCUUCUUAGACGUGGCACGUUCAAAAGCUUUUUUUUUUUUUUGUCUGAACCACAUGGUCCUGAGUAGGCCCUAACUGUGGGAGAUACCUUUAAGCUCAUACCACAAUCCAAACUAAUCUCCACUCGCACCAGGUCGGCCCGUAAGGGAUAAAGUACUGGCUAAAGUGGUGACUCCAUAUAAGAGCGGGGCUUGAACCUCUGACCUCUCUUAAGAAGUGAGAGUGCCGAACCACUCUGUUCAAAAGCUUUUCUUUUUUAAAAGCUGCGUCAAGCAUGACACGUCAACAUCAUUUACAAGUGGGAACAACUCUUUUUCAUAAAAGAAAAGCCUUUUUUGUUUUAAAAUAAAGUUUUUUUGGAUGAUUCACUAUUACUAAUUGCCCAAGUCAUUCUAUUGCGAAUACAUGCAAAUUAAUAAAGAGACUUGUGGGGUUGCUGGAUAGAAAUUGUUGAAUACAUACAAAUUAUUGAACAGAAAUCCAAUAAUUGAACACCGGCCAAUUCUUGUCCAAUCAAAUUAAAACUCAAUUAAUAUAUUCCACUAAAUUUUUCGUACAACAUCCUAUUCAGAUGAAUAAAAUGUAAAAAAUAAAAUAUAUAAUUCAAAAAAUUAUAAAGGAUGCAAUUUAGCAGGUCAUACAAUAUACCAAAAAAAGUCUUGGGGGUGCAGUGGGAAUAUUUCUUGACAGAAAGAGUCUUAAAAAUUUUUUCGCCAGAAAACAUUUUCUCUCUCUGAUCUCUGUAUUCUUCAGAUCCUCCUCCUUGCUUGAACGUCUGUAACUUUGUCAUCCAUGAUUUGCAUUCAAUUCUUGACGAAAAAACCUUUUUCCGGAUUUUCAUCUUUUGAUCUCAAACAUGCUUUGCUUCUGUUGAUUGUGGUCGCUUCUAGUGCUAGUUCUCUUCUUAUAUAGCUUUGUUCCCUUUUGCCAUCAGCUCUUUGCAUUUCCUUGGAUGAAGAAACCUUUUUCUUGUUUCAAUUUUCUGAUCUCAAAAGCACUUUGAUUCUAGUCUGCCACACUGAUUUUGUCCUUGUUUUGUACAAACAUAAUUUCGCCAUUAUCUGUUUGAUUAUCAAUUGACCCGUCGUUGACUCUAUUCUAUUUCUAUGUGAAAAAUACGAAAAAAAAAAAAAAGAGAUUGAAGAUGGUGGAAAGCAUUGUUACUGUUGUUUUAGAAGUUGUGAAAUGCUUGGCUCCUCCGACACAACGCCAACUUGAUUACUUGCGAAACUACAAUGAAAACAUUCAGAAACUCGAGGCAGAAACCGAGAGCCUGAAGGUUGAAAUUAGGAGCAUUGAGCGCAGAGUUUUUGGGGCCGAAAAACAAGGAGAAAAGAGUGAAGAGAAAGUCGAGAAGUGGUUGGUUAGCGCCAACAAGAUCAUUGAUGAGGUGAAUGCCAAAUUCAUGGGAGAUGAAGAGACUGCAAAUAAGCGAUGUCUCAAGGGGCUGUGUCCUAAUUUGAAGGCUCGCUAUCAGCUUAGCAAGAAAGCAGAGACACAGGUGAAGGCCCUUGUUGAGUGCCGAGAAGAAGCCGGUCGACUUGAUAGAAUUUCCUACCUUACCUAUCCGGACAAGAUAUGGCUCAAGUCCCACAAAGGUUACGAGGCCUUUGGAUCAAGGCUUUCUACUUUGAAGUGUAUACAAAACGCUUUGACAGAUGUUAAUGUCAGCAUCGUUGGAGUGUACGGCAUGGGCGGCGUUGGAAAGACGACUCUAGCGAAGGAGAUCGUUAGGCAAGCCUUGGCAGACAAGCUCUUUGAUCAAAUAGCCUUUUCAGAGGUUUCCGAAACUGCAGACAUAAAAAAGAUUCAGCGGGAUAUUGCUGAGGACUUGGGUCUCGCAUGGCAUGAGGAAACUGAAUCUAGAACUGCGAGUAGACUGUAUGAACAGUUGAAGAAUGAGAAGAAGAUUCUUGUGGUUCUAGAUAACAUAUGGAAGCAUCUUGAUUUGGAGACUGUUGGAAUUCCUUUUGGUGAUGAUUAUAGAGGUUGUAAACUCUUGCUGAUAGCAAGAGAUCGUAAUGUUUUGUUGGAUAUGGAUUCUAAACAUAACUUCUUUAUUGACAACUUAAAUGAAGAAGAAGCUUGGAGAUUGUUUAAGACGAUGGCGGGUGAUUAUGUUGAAAAUCGUCAGCUGAAAUCUACAGCAACAGAUGUAGCCAAGGGAUGUGGAGGCUUGCCUAUUGCCUUAGCUACAACAGCAAGGGCAAUGAGAGACAAGACUGUGCAUGAAUGGAAGAAUGCCUUGCGAGAACUUCAGACGCCUUCAGUGAUGAACUUCGAAGGACUGCCGGCAGAUACUUAUGCAAGAAUCGAGCUGAGUUUCAAGUAUUUAAAAGGUGAGCAGCUCAAGAAAAUUUUUCUGCUUUGUAGUCUAAUGGGUAAUCCUAUUUUUACUUCAGACCUGUUUAAAUACUCCAUGGGUUUGGGUAUACUCCAAGGAGUCAAGAAGAUGGAAGAUGCACGAAACCAAUUAUAUGCAUUGGCCUAUAAACUUAAAGACGCUUGUUUGUUGCUUGAGGGAGGUAGCAGCGAACAAUUUUCAAUGCAUGACGUCGUUCGCGAUGUUGGCAUAUCAAUUGCUUACCGGGACCAACAUGUAUUUUUGGCAAAAAAUGAGGAUGUGUUGGAGCUGCCGGACAAGGAAGCACUUGUAAAUUGCUAUGCGAUUUCUAUAAGUGGUUGCCGUAUUCAGGAGCUUCCUCAAGGAUUGGAAUGCUUGCAACUCGAACUUUUAUAUAUAUCUCCCAAAGACUCUUACCUUCAAAUCAAUAUUCCUGAGAACAUUUUUGCAGGGAUGCGGAAGCUUAGAGUUGUAGAUUUUACUGGGAUGCAAUUAUGUUGCUUGCCAUCUUCAAUUGAUCUCUUAGUAAAUCUUCAAACACUAUGUUUGGAUCAAUGCAUGUUGAGUGACAUAGCAAUUAUUGGAAGGUUGAAGAAUCUGGAAAUCCUUAGCUUUUUAAAUUCAGAUAUUGUGCAGUUGCCUGAAGAACUAGGUGAAUUGACUAAGCUAAGGUUGUUAGAUUUAUCCAAUUGUUUCCAGCUAAAAGCUAUUGCACCCAAUGUCCUAUCAAGCUUAACUCGAUUGGAAGAACUCUACAUGAAAAAUUGCGUUAUCGAAUGGGAUGUUCAAAGACCCAAUGGUGGAAGAAGUACUGCCAGCCUUGGUGAGUUGUUGCAAUUGCCUCGACUGACCACUCUAGAAAUAGAUGUCAAAAAUGAUAGUAUUUUACCAGAAGGCUUUUUUGCAAAAAAAUUAGAAAGGUUCAAAAUAUCAAUAGGAGAUGAGUCAUUCAAGCCUCCGGUGCGUGCGGAUGAAUGGUUCGGUAGUCGGCCGGUUUUGAUCAGUGAUCCUUCGAGUCUAAGAACCAUAAAGCUGAAGCUUAGCUCAAAGCCUAUUUGCUCGAAGAAAAUGCAGGGCAUCCAGAAUGUUGAAUACUUGUGUUUGGACAAGCUGCAAGGUGUCAAGAAUGUUCUUUUAGAUAUGGACAUUGAGGGAUUUCUACAGUUGAAGCAUCUCCAUGUUCAAAAUAAUCCUGACUUCGUGUGCGUUGUUGACUCAACGGAGGGGGUACGUCGUGAUGUGUUUCCUCUUUUGGAGUCACUUACUCUUUACAAUUUGAUUAACAUGGAGAGGGUAUGUAUUGAUCGACUCAAAGUAGAGUCUUUCUGUGAACUUAAAACCAUACAGGUGGGAAAAUGUGAUGAGUUGAGUAAUAUCUUCUUGCUGUCUUCUAUAAGCUGCCUUCCCACACUUGAGAGGAUUGCAGUUUUUGAUUGCGAUAAGAUUGAAGAGGUCUUUGCAAUUGGUGGAGAACCAGAUGUCGACAACAAUAAUGCAGUGGAGAAGAUAGAGUUUGCAGCAGUAAAAUUUUUACAUCUGCAAAAUCUUCCGAAGCUUGCAAGUUUUUGCUCUGAAGUAAAGAGACCAAAUACACAAGGGUCGCAAGAGGAAUUGACAGCUACUACUUGCUCGACCGAAAUCAGUUUGUUGGAGGAGGACAAGCUUGAUACUUCGACACCGCUUUUCAACGAGAAGGUAAGCUGUUAUAAUGAAACCAAAGCAUUCGUUUUUCUUUCUCAACUUAUUCUAUCGUGCAUUUUCGUUUGAUGACAACUAUAGAAAAUGAAUUAUAAGGGAAAAAGAAAAUGAGAAUUGGAAAUUAGAAUCUCACACACUCACUCACUAAGCUCGCUUUACAUAUUAAUGAUGUGAAUUAAAUUGCAUAUUAAGUGUAUGUUUAGUAUGGUAAUAAUUCUCAAAAAAUCAUUUUUAGCACGGAUUUCUAAAAACUAUAUUUGAAAAAAGUUUAACACAAUGUUUUGUAAAUGGGUGAGCUAUUUGCACCUUAAAAAUUACUCUAAACACUCUAAUUGAAAUAAAAAUUUAUAACAAAAAUAUCUAUCAUAUGAAUUAUAUAAAGGACAAUUUAUUAUAAGUCAAUAUUACAUAAUUACUAUGAACGCCCCAUAUAACACACUCAUUAUUUAAUAUAUAUAAUUUUCAUGUUUUAAACCUUAAAACUUUUUUAUUUACAUCUUCAUCAAUACUUAGAUGAAUAAUGAUAAAAUCAAUAUUUUUCUUUUAUUUUUCCAUAAAUAAUCAAUAUCAAACGCGCACUGAAGCUGUCACUUGGAAGAUGAUUUGAUCUAACAAGAAAUUAAUGUUUAGGUUGUGUUCCCCAACUUGGAAGAUUUGGAGUUGAUUGGAAUUAAUGUCGAAAAGAUUUGGCACAAUCAACUUCCAGCCAUGUUUCCUCGCUUUCAAAGUUUAACAAAAUUAAUCGUGGGGAAGUGUCACAAAUUAAAAUGUAUAUUUUCGGCUUCUAUGCUCAGAAGCUUUGAGCACCUCCGACACCUGGAUAUAUGCAACUGUAUGGGUUUGCUUGAGAUUAUUUCCGAAGGAGCAGAUCAAGUGCCACCUUGUUUUAUCUUUCCGCGGCUGACAUUUCUAAGACUAGGUGAACUACCAGAACUUAGAUGUUUAUAUCCUGGAAUGCAUACUUCGGAAUGGCCGGCACUAAACUCGUUGAUGGUCUUUGGUUGUGACAAAAUAAAGUUAUUUGCUUCUGAGUUAUCUAGCUUCCAUGGAAACAUUGAUGAGAAUCAACUUCCUAUCCCAGCACAACAGCCUCUGUUCUUGAUCGAAAAGGUACAUAUGAAACCAUUUAUUUGAUCUUUUAUCGGUUGCAUCUUACUGUUUCUUAUGUUUUAUGUUUGGUUCUUCGAUGCAAAGAAACUCACAAACAAUAGAUUUUAGAAAUACCCGCUGUACAUGUAUGUGUUACUCAAAAUUGUUUGACAGAACAUCAAUUGAACUAAUUAGUUUUUAUGUGAGUUGAUGAUGUUCAGAUCCUCCCCAACUUGGAGAAUCUGCUAUUAAGUGGAAAGGAUUUCAGGAUGAUUUUGCAGGAAGAUUACCCACAACACCUCUUUGGCAGUCUUAAAUACAUUGAGGUUGUGGAAGAUGACUCAGCUUGUUUUCCGCUUGGUUUACUUGAGAAGUUUCGCAAUCUGGAAAUCCUCUAUCUGAGUGGUACUUCAUACACAGAGAUAUUAUCAAAUGAAGGACACUCGGAGAAGCACGUGGGCAAGUUCUCACAAGUAAAACAUUUACAGCCGUACAAACUGACUGAUCUGAAGCAGCUGUGGAAACAAGGCUCCAAACUAGACUUCAUUUUCACAAAUCUUGAAAUUCUACGAGUAUAUUGUUGUCAAAAUCUGAUUGUUCUAUUGCCAUCGUCAUCGUUAUCUUUCCGAAAUCUGACGGAUCUGCAAGUUUGGGGUUGCAAGGAAUUGAUGAAGUUGGUAACAUCCUCCACAGCAAAGAGUCUAGUGCGACUCAGGAUAAUGAAGGUAUGUGGAAGCAGAGCAAUGACACAAGUGGUAACAAGUGAGAAAGAUGGAGCAGAAGAUGAAAUUGUUUUCAGCAAUUUGAAGGCGUUGACUCUGCUUGAUUUAGAUAGUCUCACAAGUUUCUGCUCUGGCAAUCACACCUUCAAAUUCCCAUCUUUACGAGAUUUAGAAGUGAUUGGUUGUCCCAAGAUGAAGAUUUUCACCACAGGAGAAUUAUGUACACCGCCGAGAGUAAACGUGUGGUAUGGAGAGGGAGAUGGUGAAUGUCGUUGGGCUAAUGACCUUAACGUUACGAUACAAGAGUUACAUGCUGAAAAGGUACGGUUAACCCACCAACUUAACCCCCAAGGAAUUUUUUUUCAAAAUUUGCAGUUUUUUGCAAAAUUCAGAAAAUAGAUCAUCGACAACUAGAAUAUUUGUUAUUGAUUAAGCGCAUGAUCAGGUUUUAAAAAGUAUGAGACACUUUUGUACUUAAUUCUUGAAAUUGUCCAAUUUAAAACGGACAUUUUGCCAAAAGUUUGGGAAUCUUUUUCAAUUAUCAAAAAUUCAUGAAUCAUUAGUUUUAACUUCAUAAUAUAAAAGUCUUGUCAAAUUAAUGAAUGAGAAUUUUGUUUUCAGAUGUUGGAGGGGUCGUCUUCUAAUUUGAGGAAGUACGAUACAUUGUGAUUGCAUUGGCUUUUUAAUUUAUUACUUCGAGUUGUGAAAUAGAAGAAUAAAGUCCCAGGUAAUAAUUUCAUUUUAUUUAUUUGUUCUCGUGGCUUGUUUCAUCGGUUCACCUGAACUAUUUAGAUUGCGUCACUGGUUUAUUGUUAACUUUGAAAUGAAGUUUUAAUGUUUCGUUCAGGGCUUUAUGAGCAAAUUUUUCAUCAUUGGAUGUCUUUUGGUCUGAACUUUUGAGAUUUUGUUUGAUAGUCAAGGCUUUAUAGUAUGCUAUUUAUAAUUCCUUAAGAUUGUGCAAAUUUUUUUAUGAUAAAAUUGCUUGACAAUGUCAUUGAAAGGAACAGCACUUUUGUGUUGAAAGCCUUCAGAUUACAGAAAAAUAAUAAUCUUUUCUGCACUUCUAUGUUGCUCUUUUUGAUUACCGAGGUCUCAACUUUAUCACUCUUCUUUUGCAGGAUGUGGAAUCAAAGAUAUUUUUCUAUGACAUUUGUGUUCCUUGUAUUAAAAGUUUACAUGCUGAGGGGCUUCCUGUGUUAUCUUUGCUGUUCUACUUCAUUGUAUCGCUACAGCUUUGUGAGUGUUACGAUAACUAUUGUUUCCUUCAUUUGAGCAUUGUAAGUUUCGAAGGCGCUACAUUGCUUGACUAAAGAUAUUUAAAUUUACCAUUUGUUUGCACCCCUUGUAUUAUAUACAAUAAAUUUUUGAUGUAUUUUGAUAUUUAAUACGAGAUAUGUUUGAAUUUUCAUUGAAAGGUUUCAUAAUUGUUCUGAUUUAUCUUCAGUUUUAUUUUUGUUAUCUCAAACACACGUCAGCCCUUGCAUGAAUAAACGCACAUAAUAUCCCAGAAGAGUUUUAUCAGACGUGCAGGCAAAUGAAAUUUUAUCAGCAAUCUUGUGAUUUUACCAUUAUUGUUGUUGUUGCUGCCUAUUAUUAUUACUACUAAUUGAAAAGUAUUUUAGAUGAUAAGUUUAUUAUGUUAGAGAUAUUCAUAAUGUACAUGAUGCUGAAAUCAGGGGAUUUGUUGUCUCGAUUUGUUUUAUUUUUGUUUGCCUCGAAUCAAAUUUUCAAAUUUAAGAAAUAUGGUAAGAGAAGGAACAACAGGAGUAUCUCUGGUCGGCCAUAACUGCACCUCAGAGAGUGCUCCGGCAUCGGGAAUCUGCUCAUAGCUUGUUAGGCCGAGGAGAUUCUUCCUCGGCCAGGUAAUGAGGGCAUGCGCGGCUAGUGCUCUUUUAAUUACCCCAAACAUAUAUGAUGCUGAAAACAGAGGAUUUGUUGUCUCAGUUUGUUUGCCUCGAAUUUUCAAAUUUAAGAAAAAUGUUAAAGUUAAGGAACAAAAGGAGUUUAAAAUUUGCAAAAAUUAAUGUAGCUAUGAAACAACUUCAUCGUAACAUAUUUAGCAUCAAUCUACUUUGCCAAUUGUUUAUUGUCAUCAUUGUUGUUCUGUUAUUUUAGUUCUUGCCCUGUUUGUUCUGUUCCUCUGUUUAUUUCAUUGGGCUUGCUACUUUGCUUCACAAAAUCUAAUUUUCAAAAUUUAGGGAGGCAUGGAAAGAGUGCUUAGAAAAUGCAAGAGGUAUCAAAUCAUGCAUUAGAAAACUUGUUGGCUACUAGCUGGUCUAUUUCAUUGCCACCGAUCGGAUCCUUGUCCAAAAAGCCAUCAAUGUGCCUGUUAAUGAUAUAGGAGUCGGAGAUAUAAGCUUGAAAAUAACAGGAUCAUUUACAACAUGGAAAUCAGUCACCAUUGGUAGGUGGCGCUGCAUAUGAUAUUAAGAACUGAUUGACGAAAUUAAUGCUAUCAAUCUGCCUGCUAAUGUUGUGCUUAAUUUUCAUGCAUAAAGUUGUUGGCUGGUCUGUUUGGCCUGCAAUGAUUUGCCUUUUCGACUAAAUGAUUCCAAAAAGCCAUCAGCAAUCACCAGUGCAAAAGAAAACAAAAUUAAAUUCUAUUGUUAAUUUAAUUCUAUUGUUUCCGUGUAAUCACAAAGUAUUCGAUAAAUAUUUAAAAAUUACAGUUUGAAAAUUAAGGUAGUUUUAUAUUUGAUGAAAUAUUAAAUUUUAAAAGUUAUCAUAAUCAAUUUAUUCUUAUCAUCAAAUAAUCUUAAUCAAAGACAAAACUUUGUUGCUCGGUGUAACUCACUCCCAUUUUAUCUAUUUCUAAUUGAAUUAUAUUGUAAUCUAUAUUUCUUGUUGAAAAUUGAUAAAUAAUAUAGGUUUCAAAAUUUAGACAUAUAAGUGCUACUAAUCAUUAUUGUUUCUCUAAAACUAUCGGCGAAGGUGGAAUAAUUAUUCUUUUUGAAAUAAAACUAUGGUGUGUGUCUAUUAAAAAAAAAUUAAAAUGAACAUUUUAUUAUUUAGUCAUAUGUCAAUAUUAUUAGUAAAUUUAAAUUAAUAUCUUAUUUAUUGCAUCUUCAAAUUAUUUUCCAUAGAUUAAAUAGAUUUUAUUUAACAAAAAAAUAUUGUUGACGCGUGUCAAAUUUUCAUGCAUUUUAGAAUUUAUUAAUGAGGUUGCAUUAUUGUCCAUAUCGUCAAUAAUUUUAGCAAACAGCAGGGAUAGCAAAGUUUGUAUUCACGCCAAGUUUUAACCCAAUCACUAUUUUGCAAAUUUUAGAAAAACAUAUUUCUGGUAAAUUUUGACGGACCAAAUUCAGCUCCAAAACUGGAAACAAUAAAUAUAUAAUAAUAAAUAAUAGCGCGAGUUGCAUCGGAGUUUUUUUACAGUAGAAGCAUUUACUCAUCACCAAAGGUAUUAAUUAUCAAAACACACUGCCCCUCCACCCCCAUUUGAUCUGUCAUCUUGUGAUUGGUUGGACAUGUGUUCUUGCCAACCAGCUGUACCCUUCUAAUUAUGUAAUGACCUGCCCAAUCAAGUUCUCGUAUUCUUUCAAUUUAUGAUAAGAUUCUCGUAUGGGAACAUAUCUGCAAACGUAAUAAUUACUAGCUCUGUAAGUUAGCGGGACCCCCAUUUUUUAAUUUGAAUGGUCAGAUCCAUGAUUACACUUACACACCUGCAGUAUAAUGUCAACAACCAGCUGUAAAUUUCCAUGGACACAAAUACCCCCAACUAGUGCUUAUUAAUUACUUAAUUAUACAUAUAUAACUUAAUCACAUGUAUAAGAAUUUCGGCCCCUCAUUACAUCAGCAAAUUAUCACGUACCACAAUUCUGUAAUUCUCUAUAAAUUAUAUUGGAUUUUUGAAUUAUCAUUCAUAUUCUUUUAUUAAUUAUAUUAAAAUUAUUAUUAAAAAUCGUAUUUAUCAAAUAUUAUUAAUUCUUAUUUUACAGGUUGGCCUUUCAUUUCAAACAAUAACUGCACACUAGCAAACGGAGCUUAAAGCUUUUGAUGAUUAGAAUUUUUUUUCUUCCAUUCGUGGCAUGCAAGCUAUUGAUACGGCAUUUAAUAAAAUAAUUUGCGUUCAAUCAAAAGAAGGACAUUAGCUAUUUUCUUUUAAAUUAGAGUUAUAAAUUGAAAUUGAAAAAUGUGAUUCACAUUUAAACAUUUGAUUGUCUUCAGCUUAUUGCAUUAGCACUUCUUUCAACUGCCAAGGGGAUCUCAAGGUUUUGUCAUUUUGGUUGACUGAGAAAGAGAUCGUAAUGCUUUGUUGGAUAUGGAUUCUAAACAUAACUUCUUUAUUGACAAUUUAGAUCAAGAAGAAGCUUGGAGAUUGUUCAAGAAAAUGGCGGGUGAUUAUGUUGAAAAUCGUAAGUUCAAAUCUACAUCAACAGUUGUAGCCAAGGGAUGUGGAGGUAUGCCCAUCGCCUUAACUACAAUAGCAAGGGCAACGAGAGACAAGACUGUGCAUGAAUGGAAGCAUGCCUUGCGAGAACUUCAAACGCCUUCGGUGGUGAACUUCAACGGACUGCCAGCGGACGCUUAUUCAAGAAUUGAGCAGAGCUUCGAGUACUUAAAAGAUGAGCAACUCAAGAAAAAUUUUCUGCUCUGUAGUCUAAUGGGUAAUCCUAUUUUCACAUCAGACCUGUUUAAAUACUCCACAGGUUUGGGUAUAUUUCAAGGAGUCAAGAAGAUGGAAGAUGCAGGAAACCAAUUAUAUGCAUUGGCCUAUGAACUUAAAGACUGUUGUUUGUUGCUUGAGAGUGGUAGCACUGAACAAUUUUCAAUGCACGACGUCGUUCGCGAUGUUGGCAUAUCAAUUGCAUGGCGAGGCCAGCAUAUAUUUUUGGUGAAGAAUGAGGAAGUGUGGGAGCUGGCAGACAAGGAAGCACUAGAAAAUUGCUAUGCGAUCUCUAUAAGAGAUUGUCGUAUUCACAAGCAUCUUGAAGGAUUGGAAUGCCCGCAACUUGGAUUUUAUACAUAUCUCCCAAAGUUUCUUACCUUCAAAUCAAUAUUCCAGAGAACAUUUUUGCAGGGAUGAGAAAGCUUAAAGUUGUAGAUUUUACUGGGAUGCAAUUAUUUUGCUUGCCAUCUUCAAUUGAUCUCUUAAAAAUUCUUCAAACACUAUGUUUAGAUCAAUGCAUGUUGGGAGACAUAGCUAUUAUGGGAAAGUUGAAGAAUCUAGAAAUCCUUAGCAUUAACAAUUCUGACAUUGUACAGUUGCCCGAAGCACUAGGUCAACUGACUAAGCUAAGGCUGUUAGAUUUGACAAAUUGUUUCCAACUAAGAGUUAUUGCACCCAAUGUCAUAUCAUGCUUAUCUUGUUCAAAAGAAUUGAAUAUAAGACAUUGCUUUGUUGAAUGGGAUGUUCAAGGUUGUGCUGGCCUAGAUGAGUUGAUGCAUUUGACUCGGCUGGCCAUGCUUGAAAUAGAUGUUAGAAAUGAUAAUACAUUGCCCAAAGGCUUUUUCAGUAGAAAGUUUGAAAAGUUCAAAAUUUCCGUAGGAGAUGUGUCGGGUAUACCUUCGGAGGUUUCCAUAGAAGAUUGGCUUAGAUUCAGUCGGCCAUCUUUUUCAAUCGCCAUUCAUGAGACUUUAAGAAGGUUGAAGCUCAAGCUUAAUUCUACGACCAUUUGCUCGAACAAAUUGCAGGGCAUCAGGAACGUUGAAUAUUUAUGUUUGGACAAGUUGCAAGGUGUCAAGAAUGUUCUUUUUGAAUUGGACACAGAUGGAGUCACUUACUCUUUACAAUUGACUAACUUGGAGAGGAUAUGUAUUGAUCCACUGAAAGUAGAGUCUUUCAAUGAACUAGAAACCAUAAAAGUGGAAUAUUGUGUUGAGUUGAGUAAUAUCUUCUUGCUCUCUGCUACAAACUGCCUUCCAAGAGCUGAGAGGAUUGCAGUUAUUGAUUGCAGCAAUGUGGAAGAGAUUUUUGCAAUUGGUGGAGAAGCUGAUGUCGACAACAAUAAUGCAAUGGAGGAGAUAGAGUUCGAUGAAUUAAGGUCUUUGAGUCUGGGAAAUCUUCCAAAGCUUACAAGUUUUUGCUGUGGAGUGAAGCCACCUUCAGCAUCACCAAAUAGACAAGAAUCCAACGAAAUCCGUUUGGAUGCUUCGACACAUUUGUUCAACAAGAAGGUAGGCUAACACAUUUUUUGUUUUAAUUAUUUCUUUAUUAUUUUACUCUACUAUGCAUUCUCAUUUGAUGACAAGGAUAUUUAUGUUGAAAAUAAAUCAUUUAGGGAAAAAGAAAAAGAAGAAAUUAAAAUUCUAACUAAAACUUUGUCUUUAUUAGGUUGUGUUUGUUGAUGUGCUCUUUAAAGUAUAUUUAUUUAUUUAUUUUCUUAUUGAUAAAAUAUUUGAGAUAUUUUUCAAAAAUUCUUAAUUGUAUAAAUAUUUUGAAUAAGAUCUAUUUAAUCAUAUUAUAUAUAUUGAUAUGAUCAUCAUAUGGAUUCACAGAAGAUAUAAAUACAAAUUAUCUUAUAACUAAAUAAAUUAAGUUCGCAAUUGAUAAAUAAAGUUGGCUGCUCUAUUUAUGUUUAGACUGUAGUAAAUUCAUUGAAUGAUUUGCCUUAAUCAUGUAUGAAGUUACUGAUGUAAUUUAACUACAUUGAACUGAAUUCCAUAUGCGAUUUAAUUAACCUUGAAAUAACUAUUAGACUUACUAAAUCUCAUAGACAUUGAUUUUAUUGCAAUCUCAAUCUUGAGUUAAUUAUAAUUUCAUGUUUGUUAUUUUCAUUUCAUUUGAGUUACCACUGGACGCAACAUACAUUUGUAGUCAAGAUUAUCCGAUAUCUUAGUGGAAGUAAUUGUGAGCAGUGAGAUUAUAGAUUAACAAUAUAGAAUUUAUACAAUACAUCUCUUGACGGGUUUUCGGUACUUGAUCAUAGAAUUCUCUACCCAAAGUGUGUCAACAUAAUUAGUAUGUUAAAAAUGAUUAUUAGAUAAAAUCAGUAAGUGUCAAGGAAUAAAAUGUAAUUAAAUUGAUUGGAUAGUUGAAAUAUCGAUUUAAUUAGUGAUGUGGUACAAAAGAUUGUUUAGUAAAGAAAUCAAUGUGGCAUGGGUCGAAUUAUUAUCCGAGAAUACUAUCCUAGAUAACAUGUAGUUAUGGAGGUCAGUUCCAAUCUUUUAGUGGAGUUGGUUUGGAACUAAAUAAUUGAGGUAGUUUAAUUACAAAUCUAAUUAUUGUAGCCACUAUUGUAUGUAUCAUAUUGAUCCAUGGGUUAGCUCAUUUAAUUGAUUGCAUAACUACUAGAUUGAUAAGCAAGAUAACUAAUUAUUUGGGUUAAAAGCCUAAAUAUAUUAUUUAGAAGGAAGCUCAUUUUAAUAUGCUUGUGCAUAAGGGACCUUGUAUUAUUUUUACAAGGUGGGCCCCUAUAACAAGAAUAAGUGUAAUGCCACUUUUGGUUUGUCUGUUUUUUUUUAUUUAAAUCAAAUUUGAUUUAAUAGAAUUAAAAAAAAUGGGAGAAAAAAUAAGGAGUCUAGGUUUCCACCAAAUAGAGAUAUAAAAGAGUUUGUUUUCUCUAAAAGGAGAAAGUAGUCCCAAUAUACAAAUCAGAGAAAAAAGAUUUUUUCUCUCUAACUUUGAGAGAAAAUUUUUUCUCUUGUGAGUUGCUUUUAGUAGAGAUAAAUGCUUAGUAGUGAUAAGUGCGUCAACACGUCUAGUGUAGAUCAAACUUAAGUCAUAACUUGGAAGAUCAUUGGUGGCGGAUCGUGAUCUAACAAAAUUGGUGGUGACAAAUCAUGAUUUAAGAGCCUAGAUUAUAUCAGCGAAAAAGCAAAUGUAUGAUUUCUAAAUUAUGGUAAUUUUAUAUAUUGUGUGAGAAUUGCGAUCCAAAUAUUUCCACUCCAAAAUAUUUUUCAAACCAACAGUGUUGCCCAACUUGGAGGCUUUGGAGCUGUAUCAACUUAAUGUGGAAAAAAUUCGGCACAAUCAACUUCCAGUCACGUUUCCUGGCUUUUAAAGUUUAACACGAUUGAUUGUCUGUCGAUGUCACAAUUUAAAACACAUAUCUUCAGCUUCUGUGAUCAGAAUCUCUUUGAGCAGCUCUAACAUCUGGAGAUACACGAUGGUGUGAGUUUGUAGGAUAUCAUUUCAGAGGAAGGAGCUGAUCAAGUGAACCCUUCUUUUGUCUUCCGGCGUCUGAAACUCUUGAGAUUGCCGUACCUUAGAUGUUUAUACCCUGGAAUGCAUACUUCGGAAUGGCCGUCGCUAAGUACUUUGCAGGUGUGUAGCUGUGACAAACUGAAGGCAUUCGCUUCAGAAUUAUCUAGCUCCAGCAGAAAUAAUGAUGAGAAGAAUAUGUUCCAUAUCCCAGUGCUACAGCCCCUGUUCUUGUGCGGAAAGGUAUGAAACUAUUUUGUUAAGCGUUUUUAUCAGUUCCUUCUUGUUUCUUAAAAUAACUCAAAGUAGAAUUUGUAACGCCUUCAAAAAUUUUCUUUAUUAAUAAUUAUGGUAAUUCUUGGCUAGAUAAUAAGAAAUGUUAUUUCUUUUUAUUGGUUUACUAAAGGAUUUGAGAAUGAUACUAUGCUUUUUUAAUUUACUAGAAUUACUUAGAAUUUUUUAAUAUUACAUUUAUUAAUUUCACAAGACAUGUGUACUUACAUUAUUACUUACAUUUGUUAUGCAUUUAUUAUUUAUAUUUUUCAGCUUGCAUUUAUUUAAAGGUGUAAUUAUGAACAUUCAUAAUUAUAUUUAUUUAAGCUUUUUUCAUGGCUUUAUUAAAGUUUCUUUAUUAAAAUUUACUUUAUAUGAUUACACUUAUUAAAAUUUAUUUUAUAUUUAUUAUUAUUUUAUUAAUGUUUCUUUAAUAAAGCUUACUUUAAUUUGUUAUUACCUUGGUAUUUAUGAUUAUACUUAUUAAAGUUUACUUUAUAUUUAUUGUUGUUUUAUUAAAGUUGCUUUAUUAAAGUUUGCUUUACAUGUAUAUUUACAUUUAUUAUUUGCUUACUUUGUGUUUGUUAAUUCUUGAUUGAAAACCGGGACUUGAAAGAAGGAAACAUAGAAUUAUUUAACUUCUUUCAUUAUUCAUCUUCUUGAUAGUUUCAAGUUAAGCACGUAUUCACAACAAUAAAAACAUAAGUAAUAAAGACUCACCAAAUCAAGAAACUUCCAAAUUAACUAAGAUUUCUAACUCUAUUGAAGAACUAUAGAAGGUUGCUAUGAGAGAUCUAGAAUUUAGAUCUUGGUGUCGAGCUAGAGAGAAACUAUUUGUUUCUUGAUAGACUCAAAACUGCCUCACAAUGCCUUAAUUGAACAAUAUUGGUCCCGAGAUUUUUAUGAAAUUAUAUAUUAAUAAGAAAAUUAUGAAAUUAAAACUAGAAAUACUACAGAUAUAUUAACUCCUAUUUAAAAAAUCAAAAAUUUUGGAGUUCAUUUUACCGUAUAAAUAAUGUUGUGAAUUUGGUCAUUCUGCUGGAACAACAGUUUUCCAAUACAACAAUAUUGGAUGCGAAAUUCUAUAUAAAAUCAAAAAUAAAGUCAAAUCUUACGAAAUAAAUUUUUUUAAUAAGCCCUGCAUGUCUAGUUUACAAAAAGACAUGAUUAUUAUCAAAAUCAUUUUAAAUGGCCGUGAUUUUAAUGCAAAAUAUUCAUGUUGUCCAGAGAAUUCCAUAACAUGUUUCAUACAAUUAGAAUUUCAAGUUAAGCAUGUAUUCACAACAAUAAAAACAUAAGCAAUAGAGACUCACUAAAUCAAGAAGCUUCCAAAUUAACUAAGAUCUCUAAUUCUAUUGAAGAACUGGAGAAAGUUGAUAUGAGAGAUCUAGAAUUUAGAUCUUGGUGUUGAUAGAGAAAGAAGUUGAAUAAUGAAAGAAGUUGAAUAAUUCUAUGUUUUCUUAUUUCAAGUCCCGGUUUUCAAUCAAGAAUUAACAAAAACAAAGCAAGCAAAUAAUAAAUGUAAAUAUACAUGUAAAGCAAACUUUAACAAAGUAACUUUAAUAAAACAACAAUAUAUAUAAAGUAAACUUUAAUAAGUGUAAUAAUAAAUUAAAAUAAGUUUUGUUAAAGUUAUAAAGUAAAUUUUAAUAAGUGUAAUUAUAUAUACAAAGUAAACUUUGAUAAAUUAAAGUAAACUUUAAUAAAGAAACUUUAAUAAAACAAAAAGCUUAAAUAAAUGUAAUUAUGAAUGUUCAUGCAUCUUUAAAUAAAUACAAGCUUUUAUAAAAAAAUAUAAAUAAUAAAUGCAUAACAAAUAUAAGUAAUAAUGUAAGUACACAUGUCUUGUGUAAUGUAAUACUAGAAAAUUUUAAGUAAUUUUAAUAAAUUAAAAAAGUCUAGAAUCAUUCUCUAAAAUCCUUUAAUAAACCUAUAAAAUAAAAUAUAAUUUCUUAUCAUCUAUUUAAGAAUUACCUGGAAAAAGACAUCCAGGUGAUUUUCCAGGGCGAUUUCCCACGACACCUCUUUGGCAGACUUAGACGACUGGAGGUUGUGCGUGAUGACGUGGCAGCUGGUUUUCCAGUUGGUUUACUU